UUACUGAGUGAGGGCCUUCGGGCUCGACCUCCAACCCUUUGUGAACACAACUUGUUGCUUCGGGGGCGACCCUGCCGUUUCGACGGCGAGCGCCCCCGGAGGCCUUCAAACACUGCAUCUUUGCGUCGGAGUUUAAGUAAAUUAAACAAAACUUUCAACAACGGAUCUCUUGGUUCUGGCAUCGAUGAAGAACGCAGCGAAAUGCGAUAAGUAAUGUGAAUUGCAGAAUUCAGUGAAUCAUCGAAUCUUUGAACGCACAUUGCGCCCCUUGGUAUUCCGAGGGGCAUGCCUGUUCGAGCGUCAUUUCACCACUCAAGCCUCGCUUGGUAUUGGGCGCCGCGGUGUUCCGCGCGCCUCAAAGUCUCCGGCUGAGCUGUCCGUCUCUAAGCGUUGUGAUUUCAUUAAUCGCUUCGGAGCGCGGGCGGUCGCGGCCGUUAAAUCUUUCAUAAGGUUGACCUCGGAUCAGGUAGGGAUACCCGCUGAACUUAAGCAUAUCAAUAAGCGGAGGAAAAGAAACCAACAGGGAUUGCCCUAGUAACGGCGAGUGAAGCGGCAACAGCUCAAAUUUGAAAUCUGGCGCAAGCCCGAGUUGUAAUUUGUAGAGGAUGCUUCUGGGUAGCGACCGAUCUAAGUUCCUUGGAACAGGACGUCAUAGAGGGUGAGAAUCCCGUAUGUGACCGGCCCGCACCCUUUACGUAGCUCCUUCGACGAGUCGAGUUGUUUGGGAAUGCAGCUCUAAAUGGGAGGUAAAUUUCU
This 756-nucleotide ribosomal RNA is filed under the name fungal endophyte. RNAcentral describes it as "eukaryotic LSU rRNA". The stretch from base 453 to 756 matches the Rfam family "Eukaryotic large subunit ribosomal RNA", at positions 1 to 308 of the family's 3401-position model. The record is from RNAcentral. Lineage: Eukaryota; Fungi.